CUCAGAUUGAACGCUGGCGGCAGGCCUAACACAUGCAAGUCGAGCGGUAGCACAGAGAGCUUGCUCUCGGGUGACGAGCGGCGGACGGGUGAGUAAUGUCUGGGAAACUGCCUGAUGGAGGGGGAUAACUACUGGAAACGGUAGCUAAUACCGCAUAAUGUCGCAAGACCAAAGUGGGGGACCUUCGGGCCUCAUGCCAUCAGAUGUGCCCAGAUGGGAUUAGCUAGUAGGUGGGGUAACGGCUCACCUAGGCGACGAUCCCUAGCUGGUCUGAGAGGAUGACCAGCCACACUGGAACUGAGACACGGUCCAGACUCCUACGGGAGGCAGCAGUGGGGAAUAUUGCACAAUGGGCGCAAGCCUGAUGCAGCCAUGCCGCGUGUGUGAAGAAGGCCUUCGGGUUGUAAAGCACUUUCAGCGGGGAGGAAGGCGUUAAGGUUAAUAACCUUGGCGAUUGACGUUACCCGCAGAAGAAGCACCGGCUAACUCCGUGCCAGCAGCCGCGGUAAUACGGAGGGUGCAAGCGUUAAUCGGAAUUACUGGGCGUAAAGCGCACGCAGGCGGUCUGUCAAGUCGGAUGUGAAAUCCCCGGGCUCAACCUGGGAACUGCAUUCGAAACUGGCAGGCUAGAGUCUUGUAGAGGGGGGUAGAAUUCCAGGUGUAGCGGUGAAAUGCGUAGAGAUCUGGAGGAAUACCGGUGGCGAAGGCGGCCCCCUGGACAAAGACUGACGCUCAGGUGCGAAAGCGUGGGGAGCAAACAGGAUUAGAUACCCUGGUAGUCCACGCCGUAAACGAUGUCGAUUUGGAGGUUGUGCCCUUGAGGCGUGGCUUCCGGAGCUAACGCGUUAAAUCGACCGCCUGGGGAGUACGGCCGCAAGGUUAAAACUCAAAUGAAUUGACGGGGGCCCGCACGAGCGGUGGAGCAUGUGGUUUAAUUCGAUGCAACGCGAAGAACCUUACCUGGUCUUGACAUCCACAGAACUUAGCAGAGAUGCUUUGGUGCCUUCGGGAACUGUGAGACAGGUGCUGCAUGGCUGUCGUCAGCUCGUGUUGUGAAAUGUUGGGUUAAGUCCCGCAACGAGCGCAACCCUUAUCCUUUGUUGCCAGCGGUUAGGCCGGGAACUCAAAGGAGACUGCCAGUGAUAAACUGGAGGAAGGUGGGGAUGACGUCAAGUCAUCAUGGCCCUUACGACCAGGGCUACACACGUGCUACAAUGGCAUAUACAAAGAGAAGCGACCUCGCGAGAGCAAGCGGACCUCAUAAAGUAUGUCGUAGUCCGGAUUGGAGUCUGCAACUCGACUCCAUGAAGUCGGAAUCGCUAGUAAUCGUAGAUCAGAAUGCUACGGUGAAUACGUUCCCGGGCCUUGUACACACCGCCCGUCACGCCAUGGGAGUGGGUUGCAAAAGAAGUAGGUAGCUUAACCUUCGGGAGGGCGCUUACCACUUUGUGAUUCA
This 1456-nucleotide ribosomal RNA is filed under the name uncultured organism. RNAcentral's name for it is "SSU rRNA". It matches the Rfam family "Bacterial small subunit ribosomal RNA". The record is from RNAcentral.